Molecule: ribosomal RNA, 216 nt
Filed under: Triticum aestivum (bread wheat)
Lineage: Eukaryota; Viridiplantae; Streptophyta; Magnoliopsida; Poales; Poaceae
Description: partial small subunit ribosomal RNA
Source: RNAcentral
AUGUAUCAUGUAUGCUCACGUCACGGACACAUUUCUAGGGAGGAGAGCGACCCCCACAGGCCGCCGCAGGCGAGUCCGUCAGGGAUUAACGGCGGCGGCGAGCGGGGCUUCCGCCGUCAGGCGCUCGCAGCACUCGGGGCGGUAGGAGCAGCACGCGGGAACUCCGGGCACAGCCCUGCCCUGCACCUUCGCCGACGCGGCCAUCAUCAAGAAUAG